Molecule: long non-coding RNA, 4687 nt
Organism: Cercocebus atys (sooty mangabey)
Lineage: Eukaryota; Metazoa; Chordata; Mammalia; Primates; Cercopithecidae
Exons: 2
Source: RefSeq, a predicted model, not a curated record
UGAACAGUACCGCCCGCCCAGGCAACCUGGAACCAGGGUCGUGCCCUACGGCAGAAUGUGGGGGGCCUUGGGUCUGGCGCUGCGUGCUCACCCCCUCUCAGAGUGGAAGUCCUGGCUCCUGACUGCCCUGACCUUCUUCCUACCACUGGGCCCAUGAUGGGGGUCCCCAACUUUCAAGAACACAGGGGAUGCGCGUUCUCAGGAAACACGUCCCCUCGCCAGGCCCCUGGGAACAGUCACAACCACGACGCCUGUCCCCGAAGCGCCCGCGCAGCUCCACGGGAUUCCAUGUUGUCACCCACUGGAUCCUGGACGCCAUCAGCCCGCAGCAGGGUUUCCAGACCACAGAAACCGCCUGUUGGGGUGCGGGGCGUUACACGUCCCCUCGCAGCGCCCCGCUGGGCUGCUGGGCUUCUGGGCCGCCCCGCCCCCACCCCGCGCCCGGGCGCUGACGUCACUGGCCGAGCCAGACUCGGAGCCGCCGCCCGAGAGUCACGCGCGCCUCCCGGCGGGACGCGCCCUCUGCAGAGAUCCCUCCGCCGCCGCCUGGAAUUUUCCAGACGUCCUGCCGGCCCUUCUUUCGGGCCUCGUCGGGGCGUGGUGACCUGAGGCGACCCCGGCGGCUCCCGUCGCCCACUUAGGAGGGCGCCCCCGCCCGCCUCUUCCCGAGCCCCUCUCUCUGGGAAGCGCGCCCCGCCCGACCCCAACACCCAGGAAGAAAGUCUUCUUCGUCAUGGCAUCCGCCUUCCAAAUGUCACCUUGAGCGCUGUCCGCUAUCCCAAAAAGCACUGCUAAAGAGAAGCGGGGAUAAACUGGGGUCCUUGCGUCGGGGGCGCCUGGGAGACCAUGCACCGCCCGGGUCGUCUCCCCGGGCCGGGUCGGGGAGGGACUUUUUUUCCGGUGGCCGUGGAGGAAUCGUCCCGUUGAACAGUGACCCCGGUAACGCGGCCGAGGGCUAUAAAAGCAAAAGUUGUGGCCGGCCCAGCAGAAGUUAGCGAUAGGGAGGGAUGUGCACUUGCGUGUAGUUGUGGGGGAGGAAGUGACCAGUUCAGGGCCUCGGGACAGACAGGGAGAGAUGAUUUAGUUAGAUGAGACUGGGGGCCCUGGGGGUACGAGAAGGAAGCUUGACAAGGAGACUAGGUCUGAAGAAACUACAGUGGGGCAGGCUGCGUGGUGGAAAAUGCCCGCAGGAGCCCCCAGAGAGGACAGCCAUGCUCCAGGCCAGGCUGUCCCUACUGCCUGCUGGAGGGGGAACUUGACCUCUGGGAGGGAGCCGCUCUUGCAUGGCUGAGCGAGCCCCCGUGCGCUGGUCUGUGUGGAAGGAGGAAGGCAGGGAGAGGUAGAAGGGGUGGAGGAGCCACGAGGAAUGAAUGGGCCGCUGCGGCCCUGGAAACGAUCAGGAAGGCAGGCAGUGGGUGCAGGGCUGCAGAAGGGCCGGGAGGGCCGAGCUUCAACAUGUCCAUGCCAGCAGCCCCUUUUUUUCCAGACCAAGGGCUGUGAACCCGCCUGGGGAUGAGGCCUGGUCUUGUGGAACUGAACUUAGCUCGGCGGGGCUGACCGCUCUGGCCCAGGGUGGUAUGUAAUUUUCGCUCGGCCUGGGACAGGGCCCAGGCCGGGCCCAGCCUGGUGGAGCGUCCAGGUCUGGGUGCGAAGCCAGGCUCCUGGGCGGAGGUGAGGGGUGGUCUGAGGCGUGAUGUGGAGUUAAGGCGCCAUCCUCACUGGUGACUGGUGCAGCACCUAGCAUGUUUGACAGGCGGGGACUGCGAGGCACGCUGCUCGGGUGUUGGGACAACAUUGACCAACGCUUUAUUUUCCAGGUGGCAGUGCUCCUUUUGGACUUUUCUCUAGGUUUGGCGCUAAACUCUUCUGUGAGCUCACUCCACCCCUCCUCCUCCCUUUAACUUACCCAUUCACUUAAAACAUUACCUGGUCGUCUGGUAAGCCCGGGACAGUAGCCGAGUGGCUUUUGGAGUCGGUAUUGUUGGUAAUGGUGGAGAAAGAGAGGCCUUCCCGCUGAGGCUGGGGUGGGGCGGAUCGGUGUUGCUUGCCUGCAGAGAGGGUGGGGAGUGAAUGUGCACCCCUGGGUGGGCCUGCAGCCAUCCAGCUGAAAGUCACAAAAAUGCCUCAUAGACCGUGGUUUGUUACUAUAGUGUUCCUCAUGGCGAGCAGAUGGAACCGGGAGACAUGGAGCCCCUGGCCAGUGUGAGUCCUAGCAGUGCAGGAGGGGAGACCAUGGAGGAGAGAGCCCGCCUCAAUUGAUGCCUGCAGAUUGAAUUUCCAGAGGCUUAGGAGGAGGAAGUUCUCCAAUGUCGUGUGUCCAGGCCUUGCUGGGGAAGCCCUGUAUUCAGGAGGCUACCAUUUAAAGUUUUCAGAUGAGCUUAUGGGGGGCAAUCUUAAAAUAUCCACAGCAGAUGCAUCCGGCUCGAGGGGCCGUCAGCUUUGAAUAAAUGCUUGUUCCAGAGCCCAUGAAUGCCAGCAGGCACCCCUCCUUUCCUGGGGUAAAGGUUUUCAGAUGCUGCGUCUUCUAAAUUGAGCCUCCGGUCAUACUAGUUCUGUGCUUGGAACCUUGCUUCAAGAAGAUCCCUAAGCUGUAGAACAUUUUAACGUUGAUGCCACAACGCAGAUUGAUGCCUUAUAGAUGGAGCUUGCAGAUGGAGCCCCGUGACCUCUCAUCUACCCCCCCUGUUUGCCUGCCUGCCUAUGCGUUGCUCGGAGAAGUUCUUAGCCUGAUGAAAUAACUUGGGGUGUUGGAAAGCUGUUUAAUUUUAAAUGCCUUAGACGGGGGAUGUAUUAGAGGAAGCAGAUUGUCAAGAGUGUCAUUGUGUUAUGCUAAACUCUGGGAGGGUACAAAUUGGUCAUUCCCAAAUCUGUGUGUGAAAAAUGGCAGGUCUAGUUUGGGCAUUGUGAUUGCAUUGCAGAUUACUAAGAGAAGGUAAUGGUGGGUAUACCGGUAGUGCUCUUUUGUUCUUGCUUCGUUUUUUUGCACCUGAACUUCGUUAGAUUUCAUAAUGCUUUUUUGGCAUUCUAAUAAGAGGACCCUGAGGUGGGAGUUGUGGGAGACCGGGAGAAGGGGACAGCUUGGCACUGGUCACGUGGGAGUUGCAGUGUGAGGGAUGGGGGUGUGCAGCUUGGCACUGGUACUGGGAGGGAUGAAGGUGAAGAAGGAGAGAGGGUUGGUUAGGUAUGUAGUGUGGGUGGUAGGAAAUGCAGGUUGAAGGGAAAUUCUCUGGGGCUUUGGGGAGUUUUGUGCGGUGGGUGAGCCAAGAAAAUACUAAUUAAUAAUAGUAAGUGUUGGUUAAGUUCUUGCUUGGAAGUGAAAAGUUGCUUAGAAAGCUUAGAACUUUAAGUGCAAAAAAAAGAAAAGAAAAAAACCCAAAACAAUUGUUUUGCUUUGCUGCAAGGUGGGGAAGACUGAAAAAGUGUAACCGAAAACAGAUGACAGAGUCACCCGUUUUCCGAGAACCCAGAGGGAGGGGUGUAUGAUGCCAUCUCACAGGCAGGGCAAGUGUCUUUACCAGCUUCCUCCUGGUGACCAAGGCAGCCUGUUUUAGAGGGUUGUUUUGUUUGGGGUGUGGGUGUUAUCAAGUGAAUUAAUCACUAGAAGGAUGGGUGUCAGACUUGUAGACACAGCAGAUCGGCAUCCUUCACUGCCCCUUAGCAACUUAGGUGGUCAAUCUGAAGCUGUGAAGGUGUGAUUUUUCAGGAGCUGGAAGUCUUAGAAAAACCUUGUAAAUGCCUACAUUGUGGGCUUUUGACAUAUUUAAGGGACCGCUUAAGACGAGAUUAGAUGGGCUCCUCUGGGUUUGUAACUCAUUUGUCACAGAUACCUUGUGAUUGAAAAUCGUGAGUGAAGUGAAAUUGCAGUGCAUUUCAAGGGAAUUUUGUAUGUAAAUCGUGCCUUAGAAACACUUCUGUUGUCUUUUUUGUGUUUGGUCGAUAUUAAUAAUGGCAAAAUUUUUACCUACCUAGUAUCUUCAAAUCGUAGUCUUUGUAACAAGAACCAAAUAACCUUUUGUGGUCACUGUAAAAUUAAUACUUGGUAGCACACAGAAUCCAUGUACCUUUGCUAAGGUUAGAAUGAAUAAUUUAUUGUAUUUUUAGUUUGAAUGUUUGUGCUUUAUAAAUGAUCCAAGGCUAGAGGGGAAACUAUCACCUAAAAUCCAUGUGGAAAACAAGAGCUAAAAAGGAAAGGGGAUGGGGAUUGUGGGGAGGGAGUGGGUGAGGUGCCUUUACUACAUGUGUGAUCUGAAAAACUUGCUUGGUAAUGAGCUGCGGUAUUGAAUUGGUAAAGUAAUACCAAUGGCCUUUUAUCAUUUCCUUCUUCCCUUUAAAUUUCACUUAAAAUUUUUAAAAUCAUGGUUAUUUUUAUCCUUGGGAUCUUUCUGUCUUCUGGGUUCCAUAUUUUAAAUGUUUAAAAAUAUGUUGACAUGGUAGUUUAGUUCUUAACCAGUGACUUGGGGAUGAUGCAAACAUCCUGUUGUUGGGAUUUAGAGUGUAUUACUCAUGCAUGUAUGGGGAAAUAGUCUCCGGUAUGCUGUUGUGAAAUUGAAACUGUAAAAGUAGAUGGUUAAAAGUACUGGUGUGUUGCUCUGUAUGGUAAGAACUAAUUCUGUUACGUCAUGUACGUAAUUACUAAUCAUUUUUCUUCCACUUCACAGCACAAAUAAAGGUUUGAGUUCUAAACUCA